CCCGCUGGCAAGCCCAAGGCGAAGCCCGCUGGCAAGCCCAAGGCGAAGCCCGCUGCCAAGCCAAAGGCGAAACCUGCUGCCAAGCCAAAGGCGAAGCCAGCUGCGAAGGCGAAGCCAGCUGCGAAGGCAAAGCCAGCUGCGAAGGCAAAGCCAGCUGCCAAGGCGAAACCUGCUGCCAAGCCUAAGCCUGCUGCCAAGGCUAAGCCCGCCGCUAAGCCCAAGCCCAAAGCGGCUGUUGCUCCUAAGCCUAAAGCUACUCCUGUGAAGGCAAAGGCGGCGCCUAAGCCAAAGGCGAAGGAGACGAAGCCAGCUAAGGUUGCAAGGACUACUACUAGGACGACUCCAAGUAGGAAAGCAGCACCGAAGGCGACACCAGCCAAAAAGGAGCCAGCGAAGAA
RNAcentral lists this long non-coding RNA (398 nucleotides) under Nicotiana benthamiana. RNAcentral's name for it is "long non-coding RNA (NBEN_LNC020935)". The record is from RNAcentral. Lineage: Eukaryota; Viridiplantae; Streptophyta; Magnoliopsida; Solanales; Solanaceae.